GGAGAGGUGUCCGAGUCUGGCUUAAGGGGCACGAUUGGAAAUCGUGUGACCCGAGAAAUCGGGUCCGAGGGUUCGAAUCCCUCCCUCUCCG
This 91-nucleotide transfer RNA is filed under the name bacterium. RNAcentral's name for it is "tRNA-Ser". It matches the Rfam family "tRNA". From Rfam's summary of the family: Transfer RNA (tRNA) molecules are approximately 80 nucleotides in length. Their secondary structure includes four short double-helical elements and three loops (D, anti-codon, and T loops). The record is from RNAcentral.